This 460-nucleotide ribosomal RNA is filed under the name uncultured bacterium. RNAcentral's name for it is "partial 16S ribosomal RNA". It matches the Rfam family "Bacterial small subunit ribosomal RNA", at positions 338 to 795 of the family's 1533-position model. The record is from RNAcentral.
CCUACGGGAGGCAGCAGUGAGGAAUAUUGGUCAAUGGACGCAAGUCUGAACCAGCCAUGCCGCGUGCAGGAAGACGGCUCUAUGAGUUGUAAACUGCUUUUGUACGAGGGUAAACGCAGAUACGCGUAUCUGUCUGAGAGUAUCGUACGAAUAAGGAUCGGCUAACUCCGUGCCAGCAGCCGCGGUAAUACGGGGGGUGCAAGCGUUUUCCGGAAUCAUUGGGCGUAAAGAGUGCGUAGGUGGCACGUUAAGUCUGGUGUUAAAGGCGGAAGCUCAACUUCCGUAGGGCACUGGAUACUGGCGAGCUUGAAUGCGGUAGAGGUAAAGGGAAUUCCUGGUGUAGCGGUGAAAUGCGUAGAUAUCAGGAGGAACAUCGGUGGCGUAAGCGCUUUACUGGGCCGUAAUUGACACUGAGGAACGAAAGCCGGGGUAGCAAAUGGGAUUAGAUACCCUUGUAGUC